UGAGGAAUAUUGCGCAAUGGACGAAAGUCUGACGCAGCAACGCCGCGUGCGCGAUGAAGGCCUUCGGGUUGUAAAGCGCUUUUUGAGAGGAUGAGGAAGGACAGUACUCUUAGAAUAAGUCUCGGCUAACUACGUGCCAGCAGCCGCGGUAACACGUAGGAGGCAAACGUUAUCCGGAUUUACUGGGCGUAAAGCGCGUGUAGGUGGUUUGGUAAGUAGAGCGUGAAAGCUCCUGGCUCAACUGGGAGAGGUCGUUCUAAACUGCCGGACUAGAGGAUGGUAGAGGGAGGUGGAAUUCCGGGUGUAGCGGUGGAAUGCGCAGAUAUCCGGAGGAACACCAGAGGCGAAAGCGGCCGCCUGGACCACUCCUGACACUCAGACGCGAAAGCUGGGGUAGCAAACG
RNAcentral lists this ribosomal RNA (403 nucleotides) under uncultured prokaryote. RNAcentral describes it as "bacterial SSU rRNA". It matches the Rfam family "Bacterial small subunit ribosomal RNA", at positions 355 to 774 of the family's 1533-position model. The record is from RNAcentral.